GGAAGGAUCAUUAACAAAAAAUGAACUUACUAACUAACCGAAUAUUUAAUACUGCUCUGUGGUAUUACUUUAAACCAAUAUAAUAACUCUAUAAUAUACUAUAUGGUUGAUAAAACUCUAAAUUUUCAACGAUGGAUGUCUUGGCUCCCAUAUCGAUGAAGAACGCAGCAAGAAUGCGAUAUGCAAUGUGAAUUGCAGAACCACGAAUCAUCGGAUAUUUGAACGCAACUGGCGCUAGCCAAACUAGCAUACUUGUUUCAGUGUGCGCAAACACAUAACAAAAUAUAAAUGUGAGAGAUUCUCUCUCAUGAAAUACAUGCUCCUGCAGCAGUUCACUCUGUGAAUAUACUUGCAGUGUUUGAUACAAUACCAAAUUUGCACCUGAAAUCAAGUAAGAUGACCCGCUGGACUUAAGCAUAUUAUUAAGCGGAGGAGAAGAAAUUAACUAAGAUUGCCUUAGUAAGGGCGACUGAACCGGCAAAAGCUCGAAAUUGGAAUCGGCGAUUCAAAGAAUCCCCGAAUUGUAAUCAGGACUGCCUAAAUACGAGAGAUUGCUCAAUCAUGUCGAAACGUGAGCCAGAGAGGGUGAAAGCCCCGUACAGCUUUUUCUCGCUUAAGGGAGUUCCCAAAAGAGUCGGGUUGCUUGGAACUGCAGCCCUAAGAGGGAGAUAUGAAUCUUCCAAAGCUAAAUAAAGAUGGGAGACCGAUAGCGAACAAGUACUGUGAAGGAAAGAUGAAAAGGACUUUGAAAAGAGAGUGAAAAGAUCUGAAAUCGUUGAGAAGGAAGCGGUAGAAACUGACGGUCGUACUGAAAGAUCACGUGGCCACAAGCUACGGAAGUCUUCCCAGAACGACGGGCAAAAUGAAGUCAGCUGCAUCAAAAAAGGGUCAAACCGUGUAAGAUGUGGCUGGCUUGAGGGACUAUUGUGAUUUUGCCAAAAUGGUUUUUACUGUCCCGUCUUGAAACACGGACCAAGGAGUCUAACAUAUAUGCGAGUGUGCGAGUGGAGAAACUCAUACGCGGAAUGAAAGUAAAAGGUGCGCAGCGCAAGCGACAGCAUCGACCGACCUAGUAAGAAAGGUUUGUGUAAGAGCAUAUCUGUUAGGACCCGAAAGAUGGUGAACUAUGCCUGAGUAGGGUGAAGUCAGGGGAAACCCUGAUGGAGGCUCGUAGCGUUGUUGACGUGCAAAUCACUCGUCAAACUUGGGUAUAGGGGCGAAAGACUAAUCGAACCAUCUAGUAGCUGGUUCCCUC
This 1255-nucleotide unclassified non-coding RNA is filed under the name uncultured fungus. RNAcentral's name for it is "sequence contains 18S rRNA gene, ITS1, 5.8S rRNA gene, ITS2, 28S rRNA gene". The stretch from base 378 to 1255 matches the Rfam family "Eukaryotic large subunit ribosomal RNA", at positions 1 to 961 of the family's 3401-position model. Lineage: Eukaryota; Fungi. The record is from RNAcentral.